Molecule: ribosomal RNA, 301 nt
Filed under: uncultured bacterium
Lineage: Bacteria
Description: partial 16S ribosomal RNA
Rfam family: Bacterial small subunit ribosomal RNA
Source: RNAcentral
CAGUAGCCGCGGUAAUACGUAGGUGGCAAGCGUUGUCCGGAAUUAUUGGGCGUAAAGGGCUCGCAGGCGGCUUCUUAAGUCUGAUGUGAAAGCCCCCGGCUCAACCGGUGAGGGUCAUUGGAAACUGGGAAACUUGAGUGCAGAAGAGGAGAGUGGAAUUCCACGUGUAGCGGUGAAAUGCGUAGAGAUGUGGAGGAACACCAGUGGCGAAGGCGUCUCUCUGGUCUGUAACUGACGCUGAGGAGCGAAAGCGUGGGGAGCGAACAGGAUUAGAUACCCCUGUAGUCCCUGUCUCUUAUAU